AUGACACCUCACAGGGAGACGCCAUGUUGUUUAUACGGAGUUUAUUCUCGUCUUCUUCCGGUUGACGUUCAGGCUCUUUCACGCUGCAGCGCCACCUCAGGUCAAAACGUCUUGAAAACAAGUUUUAACAAAGUCCUGGAGAAGUGCCCAAUGCUGGAGGACCUCCUGCUUUACCCCUGGCUCAGAUAAACUCCUCUCUGACACAAACACACACGCAUACUGAAUUCACAUCUUGCCAUACAAAUGUGAUACAGUAACCAACUUUCUUUCUUUCAGAAAAAAAGAAAAUUGGGAGAUUCAAAAUUUUCCUCACAGUAAUGUUUGCAUCAGUCUAUCAGAUGAAUCCCCUCCAAGUCCAAUAUUUACAUCAGUUACAGUGAUAAUGCUUGGUGUCUACUUUCAGCCACCGCAGUAGAAUGCCAGGAAUGAAUCUCAUUGAAAUUGUAGUUGCAUUUGCUAUUUAAUUUAAUUGUCAUGGAUGAUACACAGACAACCCAACAGCAAACAGAGGAAAACAAUGGGCUUAAAUACACAGAGGGAUAAAUGAGGGAAUAAGACACAGGAUGAGAGCACAGCUGCGAGAAAUCACAAACAGCAAGACCAUGGGGAAGGAAAACUGAAAACACUAACAUAGUCUAAGGAGCUUAGAAAGAAAACGUCUGGACUUCUUUAAGUUGCUUGAAGACGUUCAAGCAAAGUUUAAGUUCUUUUCAUCCGAGAAGGUGAAACAUCUUCAAGCAACUUCAAGUCCAGACGCUUUCUUUCCAAACUCCUUAGACUACGAUGACCUAGAUGACUGAGAACCUUCACAGACAUGAAAACACUAACAUAGCACACAAGACUAUCAAAGUAAAACAGCAAACAAGAGACUUUUACAAAGACACAGAGUUGACACAGAGACAUGACUGACUGGGGAGAAAUUGGGGAACAUGGAAAGAAGAAUGACUAGACAUGACACGUGGACACAGGGGCAAGGCAAAGUAACAGAAACCUAAAGCCUAAGAAUAUAACACAAGAAGAAAACAAUAAAGAGAACCAAAAACAUACAUAAGAAUAAUCAAUGAAUAUAAAUGAACAAACACAAAACACUGGGUCACAGACUCAGUACCAUGACAGUUAAAUGUACAAUAAUAAAUACUUUAAAUCAGAUGACAAUGUAGCUGACACUGUGUUUAUUAGUGUGUGGUCAACCACAAAUCUUCAUACUGUCAUCCAUACAUGAGGUCUUUAUACAAACGAUGAAAGAUAAUGAAAGAAACUGUUUAAUUGAUAUGAAAUGAUUGAAUUAUAUGAAAUAUUAUGGCUUUGUCUGCCAGAGUGUUUUUCUGUAAACUACUUUGAACUACUGGCAGUCAGUGAAGUCACUGAAAGGCAAGAUUCUAUGUUGUGUUGCCGUAGUUUCCAGAGUUUACUUAUAAAGCUCACUUACAGAAUUCAGUUAGAAAAGUCAAGCAUUUGAAGGAAUAUUAACUCAAUAUUAACUCAUUACGGUUUACAUUUUCGAGUUUAAAAGUUCUCCGAAAUUACAAUGAAAAAGGAAACAAGAAAAAUUACCACUCCAGCCGAUAAGAAAGAUUCAGGAGAUCAAGGUAAGUAAAAUAAUAAAUCAAAUCCUGGUAAAAUCCAAAUCCUAGAAAUGUUGACACUGUGUGAUCAUUUUUAGAGCAAUUGAAUCAUAUGUUUGAUUGAAAAUAGCUUUAAUACAAGAUGUCUAAUCAAAGAAAGGUUACCGGUCUUUUGGUAAAAUAUGUAAUAAGUUUAUUCUUGGACUCAACAGUAAAAACAGACCAACAAGUGUCAUCAAGAUCUAAGACUUAGUAAACCUAGUAUCAAUUCGCACUGGUCAGUUUUUUUAUCCCAAGAAUAAACUUGUGAUAAUUUAAGCAAAAGCAAUUUCAAAUUCUUUGCCAAACUGCUUCCAGUCCUGAUGUCGGGGACUCUUUUUCACCACUGUGUUGUUGUCGUUUAUAGAUUGUAAGAGCAGGACUGCUAAAAGAAAGGCCAGUCCUGAAAAAGAAGACCCCAAUAAAAAGGAGGAGGGUCGCUGAGCAGGCUGGUCCUUCCACCAGCUCAGAUGUGGUCAAAGGAGUGAAGCGCAAGGUUGUGCAAGAUGAAGAGGGCACAACAAAGAAAGCAAAGAAGGCUAAACUUCUCGACCAUAUGAGCGGUGACAAGGAGCAAGCAUCCUCCUUGUUGGACUCUGGUAAAGGUAGGCUAAUUAGUUGAAUAAGGGGGUAGAUUAAGUGUGGUUGCUAGGUUUAAGAUAUUAGUGUUUAGUGUUUGUGUCUAUCAUCCAGUGAGCUGAUGUGCUUUUGGUGUUUUCCACAUCUCCAGACUUGAAUAACAAACAGGUGUGCGCAAAAAAUGGCAAAAGAAAGGCCGCGGAGACUCUCAAACAGAGAGUCACCCAAGAAAAAAAAAAAGGAAUGUGGACCAGGACAAAAAAUCAGUGGCAGACCAAAAACGUAAGUAGCAAGCAGCUUGGGUUUUAUAUUCAGGGGAAGGGCAAAAGGAACAUUUAGGCUACAGAGGAGAGUAAUUUGUGUCACAGCUGUAAUAAAACAAGAUUUGUUGUUUUGUCUGUUCAGGUGAAUUCCAAGCCAGAUAUGUGGAGGAGCACCAGCUCGGAGAAGGAGGCUGCGGAGCAGUGUUUGCUGGCUACCGGAUAGAAGAUCGUUUUCCAGUAAGUGUUCAGAUGAUGUAGUAAGACAGGCAGUAACGCAGAUAAUGGAUAAUAUCGUAAACUGAGACGUCUGCUGUGUUUCCACCUUUCAUUAUGUCAUACUGAGGAAAUGCUCACCAAUGCUCUGUGUCUUCUAGGUUGCCAUCAAACACAUUCCCAAAAAUAAGUCUACUGCAAAGUGGCGGUAAGCGUCCAACACUUGAAUCAGUUUUACAUUACUGGAUUGAAUGCGGCGUUCCUCAUCAUCCACUUUGUUGUAAUAUUUCAGGAUGAAAGCGGAAGAAGC
Molecule: long non-coding RNA, 2969 nt
Filed under: Oreochromis niloticus (Nile tilapia)
Lineage: Eukaryota; Metazoa; Chordata; Actinopteri; Cichliformes; Cichlidae
Description: lncRNA (ENSONIG00000031205.1)
Source: RNAcentral